CAAACGACUCUCGGCAACGGAUAUCUCGGCUCACGCAUCGAUGAAGAACGUAGCAAAAUGCGAUACUUGGUGUGAAUUGCAGAAUCCCGUGAACCAUCGAGUUUUUGAACGCAAGUUGCGCCCGAAGCCUUUCGGCUGAGGGCACGUCUGCCUGGGCGUCACAC
RNAcentral lists this ribosomal RNA (164 nucleotides) under Vickifunkia narynensis. RNAcentral describes it as "Ligularia narynensis 5.8S ribosomal RNA". It matches the Rfam family "5.8S ribosomal RNA". From Rfam's summary of the family: 5.8S ribosomal RNA (5.8S rRNA) is a component of the large subunit of the eukaryotic ribosome. It is transcribed by RNA polymerase I as part of the 45S precursor that also contains 18S and 28S rRNA. The record is from RNAcentral. RNAcentral also lists the same sequence under 5 other names. Lineage: Eukaryota; Viridiplantae; Streptophyta; Magnoliopsida; Asterales; Asteraceae.